RNAcentral lists this ribosomal RNA (464 nucleotides) under uncultured bacterium. Its description in RNAcentral is "partial 16S ribosomal RNA". It matches the Rfam family "Bacterial small subunit ribosomal RNA", at positions 29 to 507 of the family's 1533-position model. The record is from RNAcentral.
ACGAACGCUGGCGGCGUGCUUAACCCGCGCAAGGCGCAGGGAAAGGCCCCUUUGGGGGCACUCGUGUCGCGAACGGGAGAGUAACGCGUGAGUCAUCUCCCCUUGACCUCGGGAACACUACAAAAAUCGGGGGCAUAUACCGGAUAGGUAUCCUUUCCGCGGGGGGGGGGGUGGAAAUUUGCGGCGGUUUUGGGUGGACUCGCGGCUUAUCAGCUUGUUGGUGGGGUAGUGGCUUACCAAGGCUUUGGCGGGUAGCCGGCCUGAGAGGGCGACCGGCCACAUUGGGACUGAGAUACGGCCCAGACUCCUACGGGAGGCAGCAGUGGGGAAUAUUGCACAAUGGGCGGAAGCCUGAUGCAGCAACGCCGCGUGCGGGAUGACGGCCUUCGGGUUGUAAACCGCUUUCAGCAGGGGCGAAGCUUGUGGUGACGGUACCUGCAGAAGAAGCACCGGCUAACUACGUG